Long non-coding RNA from Cimex lectularius (bed bug), 809 nucleotides. RefSeq lists it as uncharacterized. Lineage: Eukaryota; Metazoa; Arthropoda; Insecta; Hemiptera; Cimicidae. The transcript has 3 exons. The record is from RefSeq and is a predicted model, not a curated record.
UGGGGGGUGAAGAUAGUCGCUUCCAUGUAGUGCCUCCUGGACAGGUUGUACGAAUGGAAAGAAACUUUCCGACACGUUUCGCUACAACCUGACUAAACGACUAUCAAGUUUAACAUCCAUAAAUGUGACAUUAUCGUGCCUAGAUUGACACAAAAACGAACCGGAUUUGACAUUAUAUUAGGCAAUGUUGCCUUGUUCAGUACCUGUGCCUGAAAGUGUCCAUGCAUUCCAGAGUGUCUUUUUUUUAUAAGCGUGUACAUAAUUUUUUUUAUUGGAGCAAAUGUGUUUGGCACUUUCAUCAAGCUUUAAAAGACAAGCUUGAUGUACCUGUUAAACGAGCUCAAGACGAUUAAGAAGAGUUUAGUUUUCGGCUUGUACCAUCACCAAGUGUUUUUCAAAUCAACAGGGAAGGUUUGAAAAACACAUUUAGGAAAGUGGUUCAAGAUGAAAAGUAAAUUCUUUCACCCCACAGGCAUUCUAAGGAACUUUCCUGAGAAAACAACACAUUAAAGAAUGCCAGACGCAAGACGAAGGUCUUAACGGUUAACCGACCGACUCCUUGAAGAUGACAAAAAUUGACGUACAUCAACCUUUUACAUAACUUUAACCGUGAAAAAGGUUGAAGUACAUAAUAUCACAGAAAUGACGGAAAAAUUGUGUGAAUUUUAAAUGUUUUUUGAAAGACAAAGAAGUCUUCCGAAUUAACACCGAAUCACUGAAGGCCUUCAAGAUCUAAAGUGAGAAGUUUUAAGGGGUGUUAUAACAUCUUUUAUAAUGAGGAAGAUAAUAAACCACACAAUUUAAAAGAA